Molecule: ribosomal RNA, 432 nt
Filed under: uncultured bacterium
Lineage: Bacteria
Description: partial 16S ribosomal RNA
Rfam family: Bacterial small subunit ribosomal RNA
Source: RNAcentral
AACGAACGCUGGCGGCAGGCCUAACACAUGCAAGUCGAGCGAGGACUUCGGUUCUAGCGGCGGACGGGUGAGUAACGCGUGGGAAUGUGCCCUUCUCUACGGAAUAGCCCUGGGAAACUGGGAGUAAUACCGUAUACGCCCUAUUGGGGAAAGAUUUAUCGGAGAAGGAUCAGCCCGCGUUGGAUUAGGUAGUUGGUGGGGUAGUGGCCUACCAAGCCGACGAUCCAUAGCUGGUUUGAGAGGAUGAUCAGCCACACUGGGACUGAGACACGGCCCAGACUCCUACGGGAGGCAGCAGUGGGGAAUCUGAGACAAUGGGGGCAACCCUGAUCUAGCCAGGCCGCGGGAGUGAUGAAGGCCUUAGGGUUGUAAAGCUCUUUCAGCUGGGAAGAUAAUGACGGUACCAGCAGAAGAAGCCCCGGCUAACUCCGU